This 890-nucleotide ribosomal RNA is filed under the name Halomonas denitrificans. RNAcentral's name for it is "bacterial SSU rRNA". It matches the Rfam family "Bacterial small subunit ribosomal RNA", at positions 113 to 999 of the family's 1533-position model. The record is from RNAcentral. Lineage: Bacteria; Pseudomonadati; Pseudomonadota; Gammaproteobacteria; Oceanospirillales; Halomonadaceae.
AUGCAUAGGAAUCUGCCCGGUAGUGGGGGAUAACCUGGGGAAACCCAGGCUAAUACCGCAUACGCCCUACGGGGGAAAGCAGGGGAUCUUCGGACCUUGCGCUAUCGGAUGAGCCUAUGUCGGAUUAGCUAGUUGGUGAGGUAACGGCUCACCAAGGCUGCGAUCCGUAGCUGGUCUGAGAGGAUGAUCAGCCACAUCGGGACUGAGACACGGCCCGAACUCCUACGGGAGGCAGCAGUGGGGAAUAUUGGACAAUGGGCGAAAGCCUGAUCCAGCCAUGCCGCGUGUGUGAAGAAGGCCUUCGGGUUGUAAAGCACUUUCAGUGAGGAAGAAAGCCUUGAGGUUAAUACCCUCGAGGGAGGACAUCACUCACAGAAGAAGCACCGGCUAACUCCGUGCCAGCAGCCGCGGUAAUACGGAGGGUGCGAGCGUUAAUCGGAAUUACUGGGCGUAAAGCGCGCGUAGGCGGCUUGAUAAGCCGGUUGUGAAAGCCCCGGGCUCAACCUGGGAACGGCAUCCGGAACUGUCAGGCUAGAGUGCAGGAGAGGAAGGUAGAAUUCCCGGUGUAGCGGUGAAAUGCGUAGAGAUCGGGAGGAAUACCAGUGGCGAAGGCGGCCUUCUGGACUGACACUGACGCUGAGGUGCGAAAGCGUGGGUAGCAAACAGGAUUAGAUACCCUGGUAGUCCACGCCGUAAACGAUGUCGACUAGCCGUUGGGCUCCUUGAGAGCUUUGUGGCGCAGUUAACGCGAUAAGUCGACCGCCUGGGGAGUACGGCCGCAAGGUUAAAACUCAAAUGAAUUGACGGGGGCCCGCACAAGCGGUGGAGCAUGUGGUUUAAUUCGAUGCAACGCGAAGAACCUUACCUACCCUUGACAUCGAGAGAACUUU